Molecule: ribosomal RNA, 240 nt
Filed under: Trichomonas vaginalis G3
Lineage: Eukaryota; Parabasalia; Trichomonadida; Trichomonadidae
Description: 5.8S ribosomal RNA
Rfam family: 5.8S ribosomal RNA (bases 3-125)
About the family: 5.8S ribosomal RNA (5.8S rRNA) is a component of the large subunit of the eukaryotic ribosome.
Source: RNAcentral
CACGAUGAAGAACGUGGCAUAAUGUGUUAAGUAACCGGAGUUGCAAACAUCAUGACAGGUUAAUCUUUGAAUGCAAAUUGCGCUAAACUCGAUCUCGGUCGAGAAGCAUGGGUGUGACAGUACUACAUCUUUUAUAAUAAUUCUUAUUCUAAGCGAAUAAGUAAAUAAUAUAUAAGACAAACAACACGUAGUCUGCCAUACGCAGGAAGACCCGCUGAACUGAAGCAUCUCAUUAAGCGG